Molecule: ribosomal RNA, 603 nt
Filed under: Nasonia vitripennis (jewel wasp)
Lineage: Eukaryota; Metazoa; Arthropoda; Insecta; Hymenoptera; Pteromalidae
Description: partial 12S ribosomal RNA
Source: RNAcentral
AGCGGUUAUACAAUGAUAUAUAAAUUAAUUAUAUUAAUUUAUUAUUAUAAUAAUAAUUUAUUAAUAUUAAUAGUUAUAGUUUUUAGAUUAAAUAAAAACUAUUUAUAUUAUUAUUAAAUUAAAUUAAUUUAAGUUAAUUAAAUAUUAUAAUAAACUAGGAUUAGAUACCCUAUUAUUAAUAUUCAAUUUUAUAGUAAUUAAUUAUUAAAUUUAAUAAAUUAAAAUUUAAAAAUUUUGACGGUAUUAUAACCUAAUUAGAGGAACUUGUAUCAUAAUUGAUAUUCCACGAUAGGAUAAAUUUAAUGUAUUUAAUAUUUUUGUAUGUUCGUUAUAAAAAAAUUUAUUAAUAAUUUAAAUUUUUAAAUUUUAUUAAAAUAAAUUAUUUCAGAUCAAUAUGAAAUUAUAUAUUAUAAGUUUUAUGAGUUACAAUUUAUUAACUAAUAGAUAUGAUUAAUUUUUAAAUAAUUUAAUUAAAAUGGAUUUAAUAGUAAUAAAUAAAAAUAAUUAUUUAUGAAUUUAGUUUUAUAAUAUGUACAUAUUGCCCGUCACUUCUAGAAAUAGGAUAAGUCGUAACAAAGUAAGUAUACUGGAAAGUGUACUUAG